This 20-nucleotide non-coding RNA is filed under the name Arabidopsis thaliana (thale cress). Lineage: Eukaryota; Viridiplantae; Streptophyta; Magnoliopsida; Brassicales; Brassicaceae. The record is from RNAcentral.
CCAUCAAACUGCCAGUCCGA